CUUGUCCGGGGCCUUGGCCCAGGGAGAAAAGCGCUGUUCCGCGUGGGAACGUGUGGAACGUUUACAGCUACCGUAAGAGGGGAGCUGAAGGGUGACCGCCAAGGGUAGUGUGCGCCCCACCUCGGGAAGCUGGGCAGAGAGGAGCCCCGGGGCCCACGGGGGCAUCCUUUACUCAAAGUCCGGGCUCACCCAGGAACAGGACCAGAGACAUUCCCGUACAUCCCAGAACUUUCCGGGGCCUCGUCGGUCUUAUCUCCAAGCCAGCAGCCAGAGGUCUGGCCUUAGUCGACAAAGGGCUCAGUGUGGAGCAGACGGGCCCUGUCUGUGCUGUAACGUCGCCACCAUCUCCGGUUCAGACCCACGCACCGAGAUGAGACACGGCU
Molecule: long non-coding RNA, 383 nt
Filed under: Felis catus (domestic cat)
Lineage: Eukaryota; Metazoa; Chordata; Mammalia; Carnivora; Felidae
Description: lncRNA (ENSFCAG00000051512.1)
Source: RNAcentral